UCUCCGUUGGUGAACCAGCGGAGGGAUCAUUACCGAGUUAUCAACUCCCAAACCCCUGUGAACAUACCCAACGUUGCUUCGGCGGGACCGCCCCGGCCCCCCCGGACGCCCGGAACCAGUCGCCCGCCGGAGGACCCAAACUCCUGUUUAAACCAUAGUGGCAUAUUCUGAGUCUCACAAGAAAAUGAAUCAAAACUUUCAACAACGGAUCUCUUGGCUCUG
Molecule: unclassified non-coding RNA, 222 nt
Filed under: plant metagenome
Description: partial contains small subunit ribosomal RNA, internal transcribed spacer 1, and 5.8S ribosomal RNA
Source: RNAcentral